AGUUGGUGGUGAAGCAGUCUGAAGUAAAAGACAAAUGGACGAGAGGGAGAAGACAAAAUCGAUACAUGAAGAAACUGUUCAUCCUUCGAGGUUUUGCCAGGAGUUGGAAAGACAGAGACGGCAAAAAAACUCUGGGACGAACAUGCAAGACUUGGACUGAAAGGAGACAUUUUCUCCGCUGACAAGUACCAUGAAAGAACCAACUACACCAAAGGAAACUUUCAACACAACCAUCAGCAGAAUAGAGAGGAUGUUUUUAAAGCCAUGAACAGAGGUGUGGAUCCGAUCAUCGUUGACAACACAAACAUUUCUCUUUGGGAGAUGUGGCCCUAUAUCCACAUGGGGAUUGGACAGAAGAACUAUUACAUCAUAAUGGUGGAACUGCCUAAAGGCUAUCCUCAGAACAAAAUCUCCAUCAACAAGCUGUACAGACGGUGUCGUGGUAAAAUCCCCAAGCGUAAGUUCAGGUCCUUUGAGGCUCGCUGGAAAAAAGCUGACAGCAUCUGGCAUGUACUUAACGACGGCUACUCCAAAAACCGCUGGAAGAGAAGCAGAGAGGAAUGGAACGUCCAGUGAUGAAGACAUGCUGGUCUUCUCCCCCCCCCCCCAAAGUCUCCAAAAUACAGAAAA
Long non-coding RNA from Oncorhynchus tshawytscha (Chinook salmon), 630 nucleotides. RefSeq lists it as uncharacterized. Lineage: Eukaryota; Metazoa; Chordata; Actinopteri; Salmoniformes; Salmonidae. The transcript is spliced from 5 exons. The record is from RefSeq and is a predicted model, not a curated record.